GGGGAGGAGACACCGCUUAAUGGGACGGGCAUGCAAUGUAGGCUACCACCGGCCCAUUUUCUAACCCAGUGGUGAAGAGUUUAACUUAAGAAAAAGAGACACUAAAAUACUGAGAAUUACGUCAUCUCUAGGCAACUGUUACCCCCUCCUCCUCCAUGCUGCACUCAAUCAGCACCACAAACUAGUUUCACACCUGGCCGAGUGGUCUCUAAGUCCAGUAAAGCUACAAUUAUCGCCCCAGGAUAUCAGUGUUGUGUACAUAAUAUUGUAUGCACUAAAAUGCUCUUACGUGACUGUGUGUUACGCGUGUUGUUUCUGUUACUAGAUCCCUAUGCGAUGCAACUGAUGCUGCUGUUUCAGAGGAAGAUGUUCUUUAAGUCAUUUCCUGUACCGUGGGGAUUUUUCAGCUUUGGGAGGCGGGUUUACAGCAGGAACCUGCCUCGCCAAACUUUGAUCAAAGUGGCUUGCCUUGUGGAGAGGAAGGUAAAGAGAUAUAUAUGUACAAGUGAAAGAUUAUCACAAGAGAUUAACCUGCUCUUUCAUCCUACUCCUCUGCCUUUUUCUUGUCCCCACUGUGCUGUAUCCUCAUGAGGUUUGUGUUAAUGUCUGAGCUAAAAUCCCGAUACCUCUGCUUAUCACCCAACCUCCAUCUCUCAUCCCCUAGCCUCUACAGUCAGCCUCUCAGAGUAGAUGUAGCAGUCCCGUCCACCUUCCACUGGGAUGCGGGAUCCCACCUUCAGCUCGUACAGUAGCUGCGUCUGUUUGACCUCAUCGCACAGUAUAUGACACCACCCCACGAGGUGCGCUUACAGACCAUCUCACAGCCACCAGAAGAUGUCACUCGAUGAGGGUAAAGUAGCUGAAACGGAAUCAUGUAGCACUAGUUUUACUGGAUGAAGCGAUGUGCGUUGCGUUUAGGGUCGAGGACGUGUUGAGCUUCGAUGUUUGUCUCCUUGGCGGUUCUUCAGUGUGUAGCAAAGACAGUCACCAAUCACUGUGAUGAGAAACUGUAAUACUGACCCGUAACUGUGAGCCUGACCCGUCCAGAAGCAUGUCUCUUGUUCCGCUCCUUUCUUUAGUCUUCUUGUCACGAUUUGCUGUCUUAACUGUACUCCAGAAGUAGAAGCAAUAACUGCUUUAAAUGGAAAGGAUUAUUCAUGUGUGUGUGU
This is a long non-coding RNA of Astatotilapia calliptera (eastern happy), 1169 nucleotides long. NCBI's taxonomy places the organism in Eukaryota, Metazoa, Chordata, Actinopteri, Cichliformes, Cichlidae. The record is from Ensembl.